CUAUAGUACCCUUUGGCGGCUCCAAUGGUGCGAUAGUGGAAAUGGGGGAAAGCUCAUCCUCAGGGAUAGGUUGGAAACUCGAACAUAGUCAUCUCCCUCCUGGCACCAUAUUUGUAAUGGUUAAACCAUAUAUACAACUAACUUGACAUAUAAAUAAAUAUAAUAAUGAAUAAUAAUAGUAAAAAAUAUAUAAAUACUAAUAAAUAGAAUUAUAUUG
RNAcentral lists this long non-coding RNA (217 nucleotides) under Elaeis guineensis (African oil palm). RNAcentral's name for it is "long non-coding RNA (EGUI_LNC028971)". The record is from RNAcentral. Lineage: Eukaryota; Viridiplantae; Streptophyta; Magnoliopsida; Arecales; Arecaceae.